CCUACGGGUGGCAGCAGUGGGGGAUAUUGCACAAUGGGGGGAACCCUGAUGCAGCGACGCCGCGUGGGUGAAGGAGCGUUUCGGCGCGUAAAGCCCUAUCGGCAGGGAAGAAGAUGACGGUACCUGACCAAGAAGCCCCGGCUAACUACGUGCCAGCAGCCGCGGUAAGACGUCGGGGGCAAGCGUUAUCCGGAUUUACUGGGUGUAAAGGGGGCGCAGACGGCAAUGCAAGCCAGGAGUGAAAGCCCGGGGCCCAACCCCGGGAGAGCUCUUGGAACUGCAUGGCUGGAGUACAGGAGGGGCAGGCGGAAUGCCUAGUGUAGCGGUGAAAUGCGUAGAUAUUAGGAGGAACACCAGUGGCGAAGGCGGCCUGCUGGGCUUUUACUGACGCUGAGGCUCGAAAGCGUGGGUAGCAAACAGGAUUAGAUACCCGAGUAGUC
This 440-nucleotide ribosomal RNA is filed under the name uncultured bacterium. RNAcentral's name for it is "partial 16S ribosomal RNA". It matches the Rfam family "Bacterial small subunit ribosomal RNA", at positions 338 to 795 of the family's 1533-position model. The record is from RNAcentral.